GACCCCCCCUCCGGCUCUGCCAAUGGCGGGGACGCGCGGGCUGCGGGGACCCGGGCCCGCGGGGCCCCCUCCCCCGCGCUCCAGUCCCGCGGGGGCGCGGCUGCGGCAGCCGGGACGGCUUAUUUAUUUAUUUCCGAUGUGUGCUCCGCGUCGCCAUGGCAACUGCUCCAUCUUUUCCGGCGUCACUGGGGCACCGCUGCUUUCAAACCUUCCCGGGACAGGGAUUGCUAAGAGGCCGUCCCUCCUCUCGCCGGCCUCAGCCCCCCGCUGCACAGACGCCUCCUCCUUCCCGGCUGGAGUCUCAUCCAUUCACUCCCUCCAAUUUUCCACUUAAAUUACCCCCCCCUUCUCAGGAAUGGGAAUGCCCACCCCCGGAAUUUUGAGGGCUUCCGCCGUCUGCCAGCCCCUUUCCCCCUAGCACUUACGGCCUUUACCUUUGCCCCCCUCUUCUGAAGGUGUCGAGACUCAGCCCUCGUUUCCCAAGUGAAAACCCACUCCCCUUCCCUAUUCCCUCGCCGGGUUCCCUUGGCCCCACUAUCUAGCAUGUAGUGGCGCCCUCGGGUUGGGAGGACCAAGCUCUGAAAACACUCCCAUUUCUAGGCCAUCUCAGUUUAUUUUCCUUGUGCUUUCCCUUUGUUCCUACUAAAAUUACUUUGGAAAAAAUCCAGCUGUGUUGGCUCAACUAGCGGAGCGUGUUUUCGUCAUCUGUACCUGGCAGAGGGCGGCCGGGGAAGGCCCUGGGGAGAGAGGCUGAGAGGUGAGGAGGGAGGGAGGGCCGGCCCCUCCUUGCCUUCCCUUCCCCCACGCUGGGCUGCUGGCUGCGGGGAUUUACAGGGAACCACUGCUUCUGAACCACAUCUGGAUGGUGAGACUCUUGGCAUAUUCAUGACCUCAGGAGUGGUGGAUUGGGACUCCAGAAGCAACUCAUUACAAGUGUGUGGAGCCUUAUUUCAUUGUUUGGGUAAAGGCCUUCUCCAAAGGAUCCUGAUGACUCCUGAUGAAUCAUCAUGUCCAGGGUGCCUUGUGAUUCUCAUUUUUAACUUCCUGUGGAAACCACAUGACCCAUCAAGAAAUGGUUCAGAGUAUUGUCACUGGACACCUUUCCAGACUGAAAGCCAAAAGAAAAGUUUGGUAAAGUGCAAUUUAUCCUCAGAAGACUAUUUCCACCAGCAUGUACUCAGGGGCCCCAAGACUGAGAUUUCUACCCAUUCCCUUCUUUCUUCCCCACUCACUCACUAGCACAUGCCCUAGAUACUCCCAACUGUGCAUA
RNAcentral lists this long non-coding RNA (1270 nucleotides) under Vulpes vulpes (red fox). RNAcentral's name for it is "lncRNA (ENSVVUG00000027890.1)". The record is from RNAcentral. Lineage: Eukaryota; Metazoa; Chordata; Mammalia; Carnivora; Canidae.